GAGAGAUGGCAGAGUGGUCGAUUGCGGCGGUCUUGAAAACCGUUGAGUGUAACAGCUCCAGGGGUUCGAAUCCCUUUCUCUCC
This 83-nucleotide transfer RNA is filed under the name bovine gut metagenome. It matches the Rfam family "tRNA". Rfam says of the family: Transfer RNA (tRNA) molecules are approximately 80 nucleotides in length. The record is from RNAcentral.